This 497-nucleotide ribosomal RNA is filed under the name uncultured bacterium. RNAcentral describes it as "partial 16S ribosomal RNA". It matches the Rfam family "Bacterial small subunit ribosomal RNA", at positions 28 to 507 of the family's 1533-position model. The record is from RNAcentral.
GACGAACGCUGGCGGCGUGCCUAAUACAUGCAAGUUGAGCGAUGAAGAUUGGUGCUUGCACCAAUUUGAAGAGCAGCGAACGGGUGAGUAACGCGUGGGGAAUCUGCCUUUGAGCGGGGGACAACAUUUGGAAACGAAUGCUAAUACCGCAUAACAACUUUAAACAUAAGUUUUAAGUUUGAAAGAUGCAAUUGCAUCACUCAAAGAUGAUCCCGCGUUGUAUUAGCUAGUUGGUGAGGUAAGGGCUCACCAAGGCGAUGAUACAUAGCCGACCUGAGAGGGUGAUCGGCCACAUUGGGACUGAGACACGGCCCAAACUCCUACGGGAGGCAGCAGUAGGGAAUCUUCGGCAAUGGACGAAAGUCUGGCCGAGCAACGCCGCGUGAGUGAAGAAGGUUUUCGGAUCGUAAAACUCUGUUGGUAGAGAAGAACGUUGGUGAGAGUGGAAAGCUCAUCAAGUGACGGUAACUACCCAGAAAGGGACGGCUAACUACGUG